UACUCAGUUCGGAUUGAAGGCUGAAAUUCGCCUUCAUGAAGCUGGAAUUGCUAGUAAUGGCAGGUCGGCAUACUGCCGUGAAUACGUUCCCGGGCCUUGUACACACCGCCCGUCACACCAUGAGAGUUGGCAACACCCGAAGUCGGUAGUCUAACCGCAAGGAGGACGCCGCCGAAGGUGGGGUUGAUGAUUAGGGUUAAGUCGUAACAAGGUAUC
RNAcentral lists this ribosomal RNA (216 nucleotides) under uncultured bacterium. RNAcentral's name for it is "partial 16S ribosomal RNA". It matches the Rfam family "Bacterial small subunit ribosomal RNA", at positions 1285 to 1500 of the family's 1533-position model. The record is from RNAcentral.